GAGCCGGGUAGGGGAGCGCAGCGGCCAGAUACCUCAGCGCUACCUGGCGGAACUGGAUUUCUCUCCCGCCUGCCGGCCUGCCUGCCACAGCCGGACUCCGCCACUCCGAGAAGGCCAGCUGGUUGGGGGAACAGCCCCAGUUCUGGUCGAAGACGCAGGUUCUGGACUGGAUCAGCUACCAGGUGGAGAAGAACAAGUACGACGCAAGCGCCAUUGACUUCUCACGAUGUGACAUGGAUGGGGCCACCCUCUGCAAUUGUGCCCUUGAGGAGCUGCGUCUGGUCUUUGGGCCUCUGGGGGACCAACUCCAUGCCCAGCUGCGAGACCUCAGUGAGUCCAGGCCCCUGGAGGCUGGGGAGCAGCUCCACAUGUUGAGCCGAGUUGAGUUCAGUGUGGCCGUAGGCAGGCCCUGGAGCUCUGGGCCAGCGGCACAGCCAGAGAGAGCCCUUGAGGGAGGGAUGAGGGGAGUGUGACCCUUCCUUCCUUCCUUGUCAGCUUCCAGCUCUUCUGAUGAGCUCAGUUGGAUCAUUGAGCUGCUGGAGAAGGAUGGCAUGGCCUUCCAGGAGGCCCUAGACCCAGGGCCCUUUGACCAGGGCAGCCCCUUUGCCCAGGAGCUGCUGGAUGAUGGUCAGCAAGCCAGCCCCUACCACCCCGGCAGCUGUGGCGCAGGAGCCCCCUCCCCUGGCAGCUCUGACGUCUCCACCGCAGGGACUGGUGCUUCUCAGAGCUCCCACUCCUCAGACUCCGGUGGAAGUGACGUGGACCUGGAUCCCACUGAUGGCAAGCUCUUCCCCAGCGAUGGUUUUCGUGACUGCAAGAAGGGGGAUCCCAAGCACGGGAAGCGGAAACGAGGCCGGCCCCGAAAGCUGAGCAAAGAGUACUGGG
This 885-nucleotide small RNA is filed under the name Pan troglodytes (chimpanzee). Its description in RNAcentral is "processed transcript". Lineage: Eukaryota; Metazoa; Chordata; Mammalia; Primates; Hominidae. The record is from RNAcentral.